AGAAAUUUAGGUUAAACAGACCAAGGGCCUUCAAAGCCCUAAGCAAGUGUUCCCACUUAAUUUCUG
This is a non-coding RNA of Galeopterus variegatus (Sunda flying lemur), 66 nucleotides long. The record is from the annotation of a RefSeq genome assembly. NCBI's taxonomy places the organism in Eukaryota, Metazoa, Chordata, Mammalia, Dermoptera, Cynocephalidae.